Molecule: ribosomal RNA, 497 nt
Filed under: uncultured bacterium
Lineage: Bacteria
Description: partial 16S ribosomal RNA
Rfam family: Bacterial small subunit ribosomal RNA
Source: RNAcentral
GAUGAACGCUGGCGGCGUGCCUAAUACAUGCAAGUCGAGCGAACAGACGAGGAGCUUACUCCUCUGACGUUAGCGGCGGACGGGUGAGUAACACGUGGAUAACCUACCUAUAAGACUGGGAUAACUUCGGGAAACCGGAGCUAAUACCGGAUAAUAUAUUGAACCGCAUGGUUCAAUAGUGAAAGACGGUUUUGCUGUCACUUAUAGAUGGAUCCGCGCCGCAUUAGCUAGUUGGUAAGGUACAGGCUUACCAAGGCAACGAUGCGUAGCCGACCUGAGAGGGUGAUCGGCCACACGGGAACUGAGACACGGUCCAGACUCCUACGGGAGGCAGCAGUAGGGAAUCUUCCGCAAUGGGCGAAAGCCUGACGGAGCAACGCCGCGUGAGUGAUGAAGGUCUUCGGAUCGUAAAACUCUGUUAUGAGGGAAGAACAAAUGUGUAAGUAACUAUGCACGUCUUGACGGUACCUAAUCAGAAAGCCGGGGCUAACUACGUG